GAUAACGCUGGCGGCGUGCCUAACACAUGCAAGUCGAACGCCCUUUUGUCGCAAGUGAGAGGGAGUGGCGGACGGGUGAGUACCACGUGGGUACCGUACCUUGAGGUGAGGAAUACCACCGAGAAAUCGGUGACAAGACCGCAUACGCUUGGCAACAAGCAAAGUACUCGCAAGAGACGCCACAAGAUGGGCCGUGCGCCUGAUUAGCUAGUUGGUGAGGUAAUGGCNCACCAAGGCGACGAUCAGUAGCUGGUCUGAGAGGA
RNAcentral lists this ribosomal RNA (263 nucleotides) under uncultured bacterium. RNAcentral's name for it is "partial 16S ribosomal RNA". It matches the Rfam family "Bacterial small subunit ribosomal RNA", at positions 32 to 300 of the family's 1533-position model. The record is from RNAcentral.